RNAcentral lists this ribosomal RNA (492 nucleotides) under uncultured bacterium. RNAcentral describes it as "partial 16S ribosomal RNA". It matches the Rfam family "Bacterial small subunit ribosomal RNA", at positions 29 to 507 of the family's 1533-position model. The record is from RNAcentral.
AGUGAAUGCUGGCGGUAGGCCUAACACAUGCAAGUCGAACGGCAGCACAGUAAGAGCUUGCUCUUACGGGUGGCGAGUGGCGGACGGGUGAGGAAUACAUCGGAAUCUACUUUUUCGUGGGGGAUAACGUAGGGAAACUUACGCUAAUACCGCAUACGACCUACGGGUGAAAGCAGGGGAUCUUCGGACCUUGCGCGAUUGAAUGAGCCGAUGUCGGAUUAGCUAGUUGGCGGGGUAAAGGCCCACCAAGGCGACGAUCCGUAGCUGGUCUGAGAGGAUGAUCAGCCGCACUGGAACUGAGACACGGUCCAGACUCCUACGGGAGGCAGCAGUGGGGAAUAUUGGACAAUGGGCGCAAGCCUGAUCCAGCCAUACCGCGUGGGUGAAGAAGGCCUUCGGGUUGUAAAGCCCUUUUGUUGGGAAAGAAAAGCAGCAGGUUAAUACCCCGCCGUUCUGACGGUACCCAAAGAAUAAGCACCGGCUAACUUCGUG